This 111-nucleotide Y RNA is filed under the name Carlito syrichta (Philippine tarsier). Its description in RNAcentral is "Y RNA (ENSTSYG00000031863.1)". It matches the Rfam family "Y RNA". Rfam says of the family: Y RNAs are components of the Ro ribonucleoprotein particle (Ro RNP), in association with Ro60 and La proteins. The Y RNAs and Ro60 and La proteins are well conserved, but the function of the Ro RNP is not known. Lineage: Eukaryota; Metazoa; Chordata; Mammalia; Primates; Tarsiidae. The record is from Rfam by way of RNAcentral.
GGCUGGUCCAAAGGUAGUAAAUUAUCUCAGUUGAUUGUUUACAGUUACAGACCAAACUCCUUGUUCUACUCUUUCCCCCUCCUCACCAUUACCGCAAUUGACUAGUCUUAA